Elaeis guineensis (African oil palm) is the source of this 1861-nucleotide long non-coding RNA. RefSeq lists it as uncharacterized. The record is from RefSeq and is a predicted model, not a curated record. NCBI's taxonomy places the organism in Eukaryota, Viridiplantae, Streptophyta, Magnoliopsida, Arecales, Arecaceae.
CCGACCUCGGUCUCUAACUGGAGGGCCAAGGAAGAAGAUGGCUCGACAGCGACGACGAUUCUCCGGUCUCUAUUCUCGGCGGCGGGCCGGCGGGUCCUCUCCUUCUCGAGGGCGACCUUUUCCUCCCUCUCCGCUUCCGCCGCCGCUUCCCGCAGCACCACCGGCAGCACCAUCACCUUUCGUCAUUCACCCGCCGUCAAUCGCCUAUCAGUUUAAACUUCUUGGCACUUCUGGGCUUUCUGGAUCCUAUGUGGAGCGUAGAUCAUGAGAAACAUCAUGGAAGUUGGCUGGGCUUCUGUAUUGCCUAUUAAUAGAUGUUUAUGAACUGUGUUUUGAAUGGGACAAUUGAUCAGUUCGGGCUCAAUUUAUACUUACAAGCUGAGAAAAAUCUUUUCAGAAAAAUAGAUAUGCUUUUAGCGGUUGUGAGUGGGAAAUGCCAUUCCUUCUAGUCCCCAAAAUUUCAAUUGAUAUAGCAUGAGGUUGCCAUUGCUUUUAUUACAGCCAUGUGAUGGGAUGUAUGUGCCAUGCUAUACUGGCAUUGCUUGACAAACUGAGAACUGAAAACACCCAAAUUUUUGGAAAAUAUGAUUUCCUUGAGCUCUGGUAUGUGGAGCAACUUCUUAACGUCCUAUAAUAUGGCUGCAGAAUUUGCAUGUUGACAUAUGUUAACUAAGCAUAGUCUGUGAUUUUAGUCUUCUAUCCAUUUUUUCCCCAGACUUAUAUAGUCAGCACUCUUUGGAAAGCCAUGCUAUCUUCUCUUUUUGUGGUAGCUGGAUUGUUUCUCAAAAAAUCGUUACACUUCUGGUUUAGUUGCUGUAUUGGACAGCUAGAAUCAUCAAGAGCGGCAGAAUUUGGCAUCUAUGAGGUGAUACUUGGAGGAAGCUCGAUUUGAGCGCGCAAAGGCUCCUCUAAUUCUCAUGAACCCUCUUCUUGUUGAUGCUUAUUUCAUUCUCAUUCUAUGUUGGUACUCUCUUUUGAUCAGCCAUCCUUUCCAUCAAUAGAUACAUAUCAUUCUCCUCAGAGAUUGAAUUCUGAGCAUCCGACAUGCGAGGAGAGCGGUAUGUGACAGUUAACCAACCGUCUUCUCUACUUCGUCUCAUUUCAAGGAGGUGGUGGGCCUAGUGGCAAAGCCGGUGCAGUUAAUGCAUAUUUGAUCAACCCCAGCUGCCUCAAAGAGACUGGCGAUAUUUGUACCUGGGGGGGGUGAAAAGGCACAGGGAGCGGCCAUUUGUCUAACAAGGCUUUCCAAAAAAAAUCACCUGGCCACUAAAGUCUCCAUCAAAGCAAUUAAGAUAACAGGAUCCCCCAUCUCAGCUUGGGAGAGCAACACUUGUGAAGCACAUGAAAGUCUCUCUCUCUCUCUCUCUCUCACACACACACACACACACACACACACACACACGUAUACUGUAGCAUUUGUCACCGACGUUGAGGAACAGGGCUUUCACGCUGUUUUCAGUGACAAGUCAAAAGGAAGUUUUCAGUGAAAGGUCUCUCAACCUUCCAUGGGCGGCAACAUUAUUUCAUACCGCAAGUGGCAUUUUUUCUUGGAUGUUUGGUGCACCGAUUUAAUGUGACAUGGAAGAAUAACAUUACCUCUAAAGAAAUGGAAGACCAAAUACAUGAUAUAUAUUGGUAGACAUAGACAAGUACUUAUCCAUUGGUUCUGUUGUACUCUUUUCCUUUUGUGGUAGUGCUUUUUUAUUUUUUUGGGGGUACAAUGGUAGUACUUAAUUAAGAGCAGCCUUAUAGUUGAUGGAAAAGAAAGAGUCCAUACGCGUUUGUCCUUGAGGAAAUACAAUGAUAGACACACUAUGAUGAUGUGAAUAAACUCGAGUACUCCUGGUUGCUUCAGAAAAAA